UCUUCAGGUGUCAUGGUGUCCGGAGAGAAGUGCCGCCAUCCCCCACCCGGGCAUGGCAGAUAUCUACGGGUGCCCACUAAAAAUCUGCCAAACUAACUAACACUGAAACACGUCAUGUUUAUUAUGUAUUACAUAUUUACAUGCAAUAAAAAGGAAAAACAGGACCCUGAGCGAAUACCCUAUUAUAUAUACCUACUACAUUAUGUACCUACCCGAACUCCCGUCAUUUUUUUUUAAUAGUUCUAUCACAGAAUAAUGAAUGAUUUCAUCUAUUCUGUGGUUCUAUGCUAGAAAUAUAAAAGAGAAAUGAUACAAGUUAUCACUUAUCAGUUAUCACUAAUAUAAUUUCUCAACAAAUCCAUUAAAAUGAAAAAAUUAAUUUAUCAUGGUCGAUAUUACCACAGAAUAGAUUAAAUACCACAAUAUUGCAUAUUAGGUACAUUAUGACGGUGAAUAAUGUCAUAAAGAUUAAAAUAUGAUGGUUGUUGGUUGCCGGUUUGAUACUUGGAAUUCGGAUUUGCAAACUAAAUAAUUUUUCAUCUUAUUAUUAGUUUCUUACUGUUCUUUUAUUUGUAUAAUUUUAAUCAAAAUGUAUACAAAUCAGUACACUCCUCAGUAUUCGCAAUACAAUCAACAAUAUCAGCAAUAUUCAUCUAAUUACUAUCAAAUGUAUAAUAAUUAUAACCAACAACCAGCUUAUAACACUCCACCUCCAACGCAGCAAACAGCUUCAACAUUUAUAAGCCCAAACGUGCCUGUCCAACAGCCACAAGCAUCAACUGCUGGACAAAAUGUUUCAAGUGUAUGGAUGGGAAGUUUGGAACCUUAUAUGACUGAGAGUUUCAUCACUGGUGCAUUUCAAAAGAUGGGAGAAUAUCCUAAGAAUGUUAAGUUGAUGCGCAAUAAAAAUACUGGUGAAACUGCUGGCUACGCAUUUGUUGACUUUUAUGAUCCAGUAUCUGUUAUGCAUAAACUGAAUGGAAAAUAUAUACCUGGUACUAAUCCACCUGUUAGAUUUAAACUCAAUCGUGCUGGGAAUCCUGGAAAAAUUACUACAAGUAAUAGAGAUUUUUCUGUGUGGUUAGGUGAGCUUAGCUCAGAUGUAGAUGACUAUCAGUUAUAUAAAACAUUUGCUUGUCGCUAUCAAUCUAUUCGUACAGCCAAAGUGGUCUUAGACAGUGCUGGUUACAGUAAAGGAUAUGGUUUUAUUCGUUUUGGCAGUGAAGAAGAGCAAAAACACUGUCUUAAUAAUAUGAAUGGUUUUCCAGGCCUUGGUUCCAAACCCAUAAAGGUUAGCAGUGUCAUACCAAAAUCAGAACAUCAUAUUGUUGUUAACUAUACUCAGACCAGCGAGAGAACGCUACUUCUUCACGCAUCUAAACGAAUAAACUCCGCUGUUAAAGACCUAAAUUUCUUUCAAUCUAUUAUCUACUCUCCGCUGUAAUUCCUACACUCACGGUGGUUGUUGUUUGAGCUGGUAAAGUGGUGGAAUGCGCGAAAAUGGAUGAGUUUUGGAUGCAGCCCAGUAACGUUUUCUCACUGGACUUUGUGUAAAUUACAUCAAAAACUCUCUUACCAAACAAAACAUCCACGAUCCACCUAUAUCCAAACCCUCAACAUACACAAAGUGCUUCAAAUGACUCUCAAGGAUACAAGGCUAGUCAAGAUUAUGGACAAUAUUUUGAAACUAAUUAUUGGCAUCGAUACUCAAUGUGGAGUCAACCUCAAAGUCAGAAA
RNAcentral lists this unclassified non-coding RNA (1737 nucleotides) under Acyrthosiphon pisum (pea aphid). Its description in RNAcentral is "tRNA selenocysteine 1-associated protein 1, transcript variant X1". Lineage: Eukaryota; Metazoa; Arthropoda; Insecta; Hemiptera; Aphididae. The record is from RNAcentral.